AUCAAGAGGUGAAUUUCGUGGAGGAGCCAUGAAAGUAAAGAAAGAAUGAACAAGCUAAAGAUUCAAUUGGAAGAGCAGCGGAAGAAGGAUCGAAAUGGCGAAUGAUACCAUAUUGUGAAAAUCAGUUUCUGCAUUAAAGAACAAGAAAAUGCAGAGCAAAAAAUGCAGAAUGAAGAAGAAGAAGAAAGAAAGUUUUCAGGAAAAGAGAAUAAUAGCUUGUUAU
Molecule: long non-coding RNA, 223 nt
Filed under: Lathyrus oleraceus (garden pea)
Lineage: Eukaryota; Viridiplantae; Streptophyta; Magnoliopsida; Fabales; Fabaceae
Description: Pisum sativum (pea) long non-coding RNA (PSAT_LNC024458)
Source: RNAcentral